Molecule: small nucleolar RNA, 131 nt
Filed under: Anser brachyrhynchus (Pink-footed goose)
Lineage: Eukaryota; Metazoa; Chordata; Aves; Anseriformes; Anatidae
Description: Small nucleolar RNA SNORA4 (ENSABRG00000010050.1)
Source: RNAcentral
GUGCCAAAAGCUUCAUAACUCAGUGAAGGUUCUUGUAGCCUGAACUAUCUGGAGCCUUUUGGAAGAGUAAGGACUAUGCUCCACUAUGGACUACACAGUUGUAGUUCAUCACUAACAAAGUAGUCAACAAA